UGAAUUAGGCUGGGAUGCAGAAGAACCCAGCUAACAUCCUAACCAUGGGGCCAUCUUUCCUCCCCACAGUCCCCACACUUUGUCUCCUCCCCAAAUGUUAAGCAGCCUCUUUUCACACAGAUGAGUGUAUCCACUUGCUUCACAUUCCUCUUCCCUUCAUGCUGCUCACAGAAUAAUUUGUUCUACAACUGGCAAAGUCUAGCUCAGCUGUAUGGAAGUCAUUGUAGCUGUACUAAUCUAUACCUGCUAAGAAUCUGGCCCUCCAUCUUUACCAGAGUGGGAGCUAAAAUUAGAGUAUGGAGCCUUGGAUCAUAAUGUACUCUCCUUGCAGAGCCUCAAGGGCCAGCAUUGUGCAAUCAAGAACCAGGUCACAGCUGGGACUCUUACCAGCAAUUUAUCCAGGAGACCUGCAGAGCAAGACAGCGAACAGCUCAGCAGAACAAGAGGAGGAUUCUGGGCUCUUCCAUUUUCAGGGAAGAGCACUUCAACAUUGAUAAGAGAAGUACCUAUAGCACUGAUUUCAAACAAUGGAGUGGAGGCUAUGAUGGGCAGUGUACAACACAUAGGAAUGUCUCCAACAUUUUCUUUCAAGAUGGCUGCCACAACCAGAACCCCUGGAUUUCAGAAUACAAGGACAACUACAGCGUUUUCUUGCAGAGGCUCAACUGGCAAUCACACAACUCCAUCUCUGGUCUGUGUUCACCUGUAAAGCCCUUCUCACACCUUUCUCAUGGGCUGUCACCUCAGAAGCCCAUUGCAGUGAACACGGCCUUUUGAAUAUUGUUACAGAGUCAGUGCUGCCUUUAAGACUCUGCUUUGAGAGCUCUCCAACGUGCCAGCCAUGAUAUUAUCUGGGAGACCAUUGAUGCCUGGGCAGCCCUUUGUGUUCCACAUUUGUCAUUGCCUUUAUAAACUUGUUUUGAAGUAAUUCAUACGGAUCUGUCGGUAUUCACAUUUUUAUUACACCUGAACCACCACACUGGUUUUAAACUCCAGAUGAAGAACACACUUCAGUUCAGUGAAAUAUGUUCAGCUGAAAAAAUAUUUAG
Gavialis gangeticus (Gharial) is the source of this 1049-nucleotide long non-coding RNA. RefSeq lists it as uncharacterized. The transcript is spliced from 4 exons. The record is from RefSeq and is a predicted model, not a curated record. Lineage: Eukaryota; Metazoa; Chordata; Crocodylia; Gavialidae.